RNAcentral lists this ribosomal RNA (370 nucleotides) under uncultured eukaryote. Its description in RNAcentral is "partial 18S ribosomal RNA". It matches the Rfam family "Eukaryotic small subunit ribosomal RNA", at positions 592 to 976 of the family's 1831-position model. The record is from RNAcentral.
CAAUAGCGUAUAUUAAAGUUGUUGCAGUUAAAAAGCUCGUAGUUGGACCUUGGACCUGGACAGGCGGUCCGCCUCACGGCGUGUACUGUCUUGCUGGGUCUUUCCUCUUGGUGAUCUGUUGUUUCGGCAGCAGGGAACCAGGACUUUUACUUUGAAAAAAUUAGAGUGUUCAAAGCAGGCUCGACGCCGGAAUACAUUAGCAUGGAAUAAUAAAAUAGGACGUGCGGUUCUAUUUUGUUGGUUUUUGGAAUCGCCGUAAUGAUUAAUAGGGACAGUCGGGGGCAUUAGUACUCACAUGCUAGAGGUGAAAUUCUUGGAUUUUGUGAAGACUAACUUCUGCGAAAGCAUUUGCCAAGGAUGUUUUCAUUAA